GACGAACGCUGGCGGCGUGCUUAACACAUGCAAGUCGAACGGAAAGGCCUCGUUCGGGGGGUACUCGCGUGGCGAACGGGUGAGUAACACGCGAGUAACCUGCCCUUGACUUUGGGAUAACUUCAGGAAACAGGGGGUAAUACAGGAUAGGAGCUCCUGCUGCAUGGUGGGGGGUGGAGAGAUUCGGGGGUUUGGGGUGGACUCGCGGCGUAUCAGCUUGUUGGUGGGGGGGUGGCUUACCAAGGCUUUGGCGGGGAGGCGGCCUGGGGGGGUGACCGGCCACCUUGGGACUGACGUACGGCCCAGGCCUCUACCGGGAGGCACAGGGGGGAAUAUUGCCCCAAGGGUGGGAGCCCGGUGCCGCAACGCCGUGGGCCGGAUGACCGCCUUCCGGUUGGAAACCGCUUUCGCCCAUGACGAAGCCUUGUGUGACGGUAGUGGGUAAAGAAGCACCGGCUAACUACGUG
This 467-nucleotide ribosomal RNA is filed under the name uncultured bacterium. RNAcentral describes it as "partial 16S ribosomal RNA". It matches the Rfam family "Bacterial small subunit ribosomal RNA", at positions 28 to 507 of the family's 1533-position model. The record is from RNAcentral.